This 460-nucleotide ribosomal RNA is filed under the name uncultured bacterium. RNAcentral describes it as "partial 16S ribosomal RNA". It matches the Rfam family "Bacterial small subunit ribosomal RNA", at positions 338 to 795 of the family's 1533-position model. The record is from RNAcentral.
CCUACGGGUGGCAGCAGUGAGGAAUAUUGGUCAAUGGACGAGAGUCUGAACCAGCCAAGUAGCGUGAAGGAUGAAUGCCCUAUGGGUUGUAAACUUCUUUUAUAUGGGAAUAAAACAGGGUAUACAUACCCUCUUUUAUGUACCAUAUUAAUAAGGAACGGCUCACUCCGUGCCAGCAGCCGCGGUCAUACGGAGGAUCCGAGCGUUGUCGGGAUUUAUUGGGUUUAAAGGGAGCGUAGGUGGAUUGUUAAGUCAGUUGUGAAAGUGUGCGGCUCAACCGUAAAAUUGCAUGGGAAACUGGCAGUGUGGAGUACAGUAGAGGUGGGUGGAAUUAGUGGUGUAGCGGUGAAAUGCUUAGAUAUAACGAAGAACUCCGAUUGCGAAGGCAGCUUACUGGACUGUAACUGACACUGAUGCUCGAAAGUGUGGGGAUCAAACAGGAUUAGAUACCCCAGUAGUC